UGAAGGAAGAGGGAAGGUGGCGUUAGGAGGAGCCUUCCUUCAGGGGCGACUGACCGAGGGCCGACGUGCAGUCUACAUCGCAGGGAAUACGUGAGGACGAACCUAAAGGCUGUGAGGACGCGAAGAGAGGUCCUGCCUCAGGCGACUGACGCAGCUCGGCUGAAGUCUCCCAUCUCGAGACGGCCACGUUGACUCAGGGCGCCUCCACCUCCCGCCGUCCUUUUUGUCAUUUUUUCCCCUCAGGGUCGCUCACCACAAGAUACCGGGCUCCAGGAAGACGCCCAGCCACCCUUCAGCACCUCACGAACUCUACGCGCCACAAAUUCAAAUACGAGGGCUGGAGUCGCGCCGCCCCAAACGUCUCGUAGAGUGAGGCAGAGAUCGACCAAUCAAAGCCAGACUAGCGCCAGACGCCCAAGUCGGUGGGCGUGGCGAGGGAAAUAAGGGCGGGACGAUACUCUGUUGCCAAGACGACGGCUUCCGGGUGGGCGGGCCAAGGUGACUUGUGGCCGGAAGACGAGACUCCGCGGGAAAAGCAGCCUUGCCAAGCUGAAGGAGGAGCUGGAGGGCUGAGGCAGGUUCCUCGAGAGUAAAGGUGGGCGUGCGGUGGGGUCCCGCCACAGGCCUGCGUUUCCUUUACCCUUCUCUGUCAUCAAACGAUAUUCCUGUCCAGUUACAAAGUGCAAGUUGUUGCCCUAAGAUUAAUUUAUUUAUUUAUGAGAGAGACGGAGAGAGAGAGAGGCAGACACACAGGAAGCCUGAUACGGUACUCCAUCCCAGACCCCAGGAUCAUGCCCUGAGCUGAAGGUAGACGCUCAACCGCUGAGCCACCCAGGCGUCACUCUACCGUGAUUUUUAAAGAUAAUAUUAGGGAAAGCUGGGGAAAAGCUGAGAUGGAGUAACAAAGACCAGACUUACCUUCCCAGCUGAAACAACUAAAAAGACAAGAUAAAAUACAUGAAAGAAUGGUUCUCCAGUCACUUAACGUUACACAGUGAAGGACAGUGAUUGCUGAGAGAUGAAAAAUAAACAGAGCUCAAGGCAAUCCCAGAAGACUCAAAGAAGAACUUUGUGCAGAGGAAGCUCCUGGAGAGAGACAGCUAAAUCAGUGCCCUGAAAUGCCUCCAAUGCUCUAGAAGGUCUUAAUAAUUAAGUCCUCAGAGAUGGCGUCAAGAAUGACACUAACCAGGCUGCUUUCCUGCCUCUUCCAAACUGGAGUUCCCGUCUCGAUCUGGAAUAGCUGCUGGGAGAAACAUGCUGCUGGGCAUCACCAUCUCAGGGGUGGUCACCUGAGGAGUAAGAGGCAGAGAAAUGAGGAGAGUCAAAUGGAGAGGAAAGAGACACAAAAUAGGGAAAUGUGUAAAAAUUAUUUAAUAAGCAAAAUUAGCCUUCACCAGUGUAAAGCUGGAAGUGUCACUUUUCAUAGCUCACUGAAGAUUCAUGUUUAUUAGACAAAGCUCACAUCAGUCAAAAGUGUUUCUACGGUUACAUUCUGGACAUAAUUAGCAGUGCACACUUGAAGAAUAAUCUUAUUAUUAAUAUUUUUCCUUUAUGCAGAAUUUUGACUUUGAUCACUGACAAUGUUUUGUCAUGGGCUGUGAAACUUCUUGUGCAACCAAUUAGGUAGAUAAGUUGAAAGGCCCACCUUAAGCUGCUGAAAACAUAAUAAGGGCCCUAAUUAAAUCAUACCUAGUAAAGUACACUGUAAUCUUGAAGCAGGGAGCAUUGUAGUACUGUUUUCAAAAUGUAUUCAGGCAAGAAGAGGAGGGGAAUAAGAGCGAAGGAAAGGGUAAGAAGAAAAGAAGAGAACAAAGAGAAGGCUAAGGACACGCAGACACAUUGGCAGAUUCUCCAGGAAACAACAUUUUGUAACCCUUUAGAAGCUAGAUCGAGUGCAAAUGAACAUUUCUUACAGCUCACUUCAACCAGAAUUUCUUCUAGAAUCUUUGCUUGAGGUGCUCAGCAUCAGAGGGAGCAUCUGGCCAGUGUCCCAGCCACAAAGGGUACCCUGCACAGCAUUUAACAUUAGGGCAGCCCCACCUUCACCAUGGCUAUUGUUUGUUUGCUAAUACGGCAAUUCCAGAAUCAGCCUGGAUCAGGUUAGAUCCUUGGAUAUUUUUCUCUAGGCUUCUCUGACAUGUGGCCAGAAGUUUGUCUGAAGAAGUUAUCGUUUGUUCCACAUUUACAUGAUAAGCAGCCCUCAAAUUCAACAUAAGAAUUAAAGAUUCUUCAUUUUAAAAGAAGUAAUAUUCCUUUGCCUGCUAUAGGGUGGAGGGCUAGUAGGUGAUGAUCUUGCUAAAUGAAUAAGAAAUGGUCUCCUGUUGGAUGACAGUCUGAGAAAUGAACUGAACAGAAACUUCACUCACACCACUAACCUUUCUACAUGGUGUCCAGCCCUACCUGAAGGAAUAAUUUUCCCAUCAAACUCAGGUAUCUUGAUAAUAUCUUCACUUGCUGUUGCGAAGAUUGGAACAUCUAGAUUACUGCUCAAAAUUAAAUAAAUUAGUAUUAAUUUUUAAUGGUUUGAAGAUCCUGGACUUGCUCAAAAUAGCUUGCUGACAUGUUCCCUAGAAGCAUCGGUGAAAGGCUCCAGUGCUAGGGGAAACCCAGACAGCUGUCCCCAUGAACACCAAAAAGGUAACUCCUCAGUACAUUUAGGGGUUCAGCAACCCAGAUGCUUGUAGGUACAAACAUUAAGCAACAGGCACUAUGGAGAAAGGUUCUGAGAAAGCUCGUGUUUCUGAAGAGCAGGUGCAUGGCAGGUGAAUGUGUGUGACAGAGAAUUCCUGCUCACAGACAUCUGCACCCUCACACAAAGCUCGUCAGCAGCUGGUUAAGGCUAGCUGUUGAUGAAUCGUUAGGAAUGGAGCAGAGAUUGCCAAACUCAUUCCAUCUAUUUUCUUUUUAAUAGAAAGCAUUUCUGACCAGUAUGGUUGGGGAGUCCAGCGGGAAUCCAAGAAGUGAAAGGUCACCGAUUAAUUUAUAGUCCUCAGCCAAGGGGGAGCACGAGGUUGGGGGCAGGAGGGGGAGAAAGGGAAAGGAAAAAAGACUUCCCCCCCACCUCCUUUCUCGGUUGUAGCUGCAGGAUCAGUCCUUUCCAGGGAUCUUUAGGAAUUAUGAAAAAUGAAUCAUGAGAAAUAAAAAAAAAAAAAGCCCUACAGAGUAAAAAAGAAUAAAA
This is a long non-coding RNA of Canis lupus familiaris (dog), 3178 nucleotides long. RefSeq lists it as uncharacterized. The record is from RefSeq and is a predicted model, not a curated record. The transcript has 5 exons. Lineage: Eukaryota; Metazoa; Chordata; Mammalia; Carnivora; Canidae.